This 574-nucleotide long non-coding RNA is filed under the name Sorghum bicolor (sorghum). RNAcentral's name for it is "long non-coding RNA (SBIC_LNC001712)". Lineage: Eukaryota; Viridiplantae; Streptophyta; Magnoliopsida; Poales; Poaceae. The record is from RNAcentral.
AGGUAUGAAGAAGAUGAUGAGUAUAGGAAGAAGCCGAGUGGGAGCUAUGGUGGAGGAAGGUAUGAGGACGAAGAUGAUUAUAGGAAGAAACCUAGUGCUGGUCAUGGUGGAGGGAGGUAUGAGGAAGAUGAUGAGUACAAGAAGCCCAGUGGUGGCGGAUAUGGUUAUGGGGCUUCCAGUGGUGGAGGCCAUGGAGGAAGGUACGAAGAAGAGGACUACAAGAAGAAGCCUAGUGGACACUCAGGGGGAUGCUAUGAGGAAGAGGAGGGGUACAAGAAGGCUAGUGGUCAUAGUGGAGGGAAGUAUGGCAAGGAGGAAGAUGACAAGAAGAAGAAGCAUGGUGAGGAUGAGUCAGAGGGUGGCGGUAUUGGUGAUUACCUGAAGUUGGCACAGGGUUUCAUGAAGAAACAGGAUGGGGAAGGGGAGAGUGGGGGCGGCAUGGGAGACUACUUAAAGCUUGCUGAAGGUUUCUUGAAGAAGCGCUGAUUAAUCUUCCAUGUCAUGUUUCAGGAAGGACUUGUUGUGUUUGGUUAGUCCUGUUUAUUGUCACCAAGUAGUGAAAUUUUCAAGGUUU